AGUGAACGCUGGCGGCAGGCCUAACACAUGCAAGUCGAGCGGCAGCGCGUCCGACCACCCUCGGGUGGUCGGAUGGCGGCGAGCGGCGGACGGGUGAGGAAUGCAUCGGAAUCUGCCUCGUUGUGGGGGAUAACGUAGGGAAACUUACGCUAAUACCGCAUACGACCUACGGGUGAAAGUGGGGGACCUUCGGGCCUCACGCGAUGAGAUGAGCCGAUGCCGGAUUAGCUAGUUGGCGGGGUAAAGGCCCACCAAGGCGACGAUCCGUAGCUGGUCUGAGAGGAUGAUCAGCCACACUGGAACUGAGACACGGUCCAGACUCCUACGGGAGGCAGCAGUGGGGAAUAUUGGACAAUGGGGGGCAACCCUGAUCCAGCCAUGCCGCGUGUGUGAAGAAGGCCUUC
This 404-nucleotide ribosomal RNA is filed under the name uncultured bacterium. RNAcentral's name for it is "bacterial SSU rRNA". It matches the Rfam family "Bacterial small subunit ribosomal RNA", at positions 30 to 419 of the family's 1533-position model. The record is from RNAcentral.